UGCGCAGACAUGACGUUUCGUGCGUCUCCUUGGCGACGGAGUGGAACCGGAAUGAUGGAGGAGCGAUGGAGAGGCGCAGAAUGAAUUAUGUGAGAAUCAGUCGGUGUCGCUGCUCCGGUCGUUUACUCUGAGCUUUUAGAGCGUUUUUUGAACAUUUUUAUCUCCUUCUUGUUGAUUUGUUCUCGUUCAGACUGACCAUCCCAGUGUUGAACAUGCUGCUGAAUGAGCUGCUGUGUGUCAGCAAAGUGCCUCCAGGUGUGAAACAUGUGGAUCUGGAUCUGUCCACUCUGCCUCCGACCACCGCCAUGGCAGUGAUCAUCUACAACCGCUGGGCCAUCAGAACCAUCGUGCUGAGCAGCUUUCCAGAGAAACAAACCAACCAGGACCUCAUCAGAUAAACAUGUUAAAUAUCGUGCA
This is a long non-coding RNA of Acanthochromis polyacanthus (spiny chromis), 417 nucleotides long. RefSeq lists it as uncharacterized. Lineage: Eukaryota; Metazoa; Chordata; Actinopteri; Pomacentridae. The record is from RefSeq and is a predicted model, not a curated record. The transcript has 4 exons.